UAGGAUGUUAGCAAUGUACAGAAAUCUAUGUAUUUGUCAGAGCCGUGGGUACACUCACAGGUUGUUCCACUUCAUAGGUUUUGACUGCCUUUGUUAAAUCAGCUCUGACAUGGCACAGCUGUGGGGUCUUGGUCACAGCUGAAGAACCUUGUCAGGAGGUCUCACUUGGUAUCUAACUAUUUUCAGGCCCUUGCCUUGCAUUCUUACUGCAUCUAGCUCUUGCACUUUGUUGAUCUUGAUCCUGACCCACUGGUGUCCUGACUGAGGGCUUCACCCUGGGCCUGGUGAUCUUUGAGCUGAGGUUGUUCUCCUCAUCAGCCUUGCCCAGCUCUCUUCAUUGGGCACAGCUGGAUGGUGUUCCAUCAAUAUGAGUCUGCCAUGUAUGCCUGGACAUCACAAACAUCCACUGGUUUGACUCUCUUUGUGGAGCAGCCCCCUCACUCUGCUCUCUGGUAAUGCAACUGUCAAGGGUCAGCCAGUAAGAGAAGGGAGGCUGAAAAACGCUCUGCAACUAUGAGACUGAGACCUGAGACAACUGGUGCAUUGAGGUCACUUCAUGGGUAUUUCUGUACAGGAAGGUACAAAAAUCUCUCUGAUCUGCACAUGAAGGAGGAGAGGCAAAAAUAACAGAAGGC
Molecule: long non-coding RNA, 635 nt
Filed under: Anas platyrhynchos platyrhynchos (common mallard)
Lineage: Eukaryota; Metazoa; Chordata; Aves; Anseriformes; Anatidae
Description: lncRNA (ENSAPLG00000018351.1)
Source: RNAcentral